Molecule: ribosomal RNA, 429 nt
Filed under: Chloroflexota bacterium
Lineage: Bacteria; Bacillati; Chloroflexota
Description: Chloroflexi bacterium partial 16S ribosomal RNA
Rfam family: Bacterial small subunit ribosomal RNA
Source: RNAcentral
UGGGGAAUAUUGCACAAUGGGCGCAAGCCUGAUGCAGCCAUGCCGCGUGUAUGAAGAAGGCCUUCGGGUUGUAAAGUACUUUCAGCGGGGAGGAAGGGAGUAAAGUUAAUACCUUUGCUCAUUUACGUUACCCGCAGAAGAAGCACCGGCUAACUCCGUGCCAGCAGCCGCGGUAAUACGGAGGGUGCAAGCGUUAAUCGGAAUUACUGGGCGUAAAGCGCACGCAGGCGGUUUGUUAAGUCAGAUGUGAAAUCCUCGGGCUCAACCUGGGAACUGCAUCUGAUACUGGCAAGCUUGGGUCUCGUAGAGGGGGGUAGAAUUCCAGGUGUAGCGGUGAAAUGCGUAGAGAUCUGGAGGAAUACCGGUGGCGAAGGCGGCCCCCUGGACGAAGACUGACGCUCAGGUGCGAAAGCGUGGGGAGCAAACAGG